UAAGUUAUUGUAUUUUUCAUGUUAUGUUUUAUUUCUAUUGUAUUUUCAGAAUUAUGUAUUUUGAUUUUGGCUAUGUACUUUUGGGGUGUUUUGUCCCCCAUGAACAAUUUUAAAUUUUGGAGUUAAUGUUAUUAUUUAUGUUUUAAAUUUUGUUUGUUUUAAUAAAUUUUUGGUUGGUUGAGUGGCAAACCUUCUAGAUUGGUUGCUCCUCAAAGAAGUAUCCAAUGAAGGUGCAUC
This 237-nucleotide long non-coding RNA is filed under the name Lathyrus oleraceus (garden pea). RNAcentral's name for it is "Pisum sativum (pea) long non-coding RNA (PSAT_LNC002214)". Lineage: Eukaryota; Viridiplantae; Streptophyta; Magnoliopsida; Fabales; Fabaceae. The record is from RNAcentral.